Molecule: ribosomal RNA, 584 nt
Filed under: Pinus monticola (Western white pine)
Lineage: Eukaryota; Viridiplantae; Streptophyta; Pinopsida; Pinales; Pinaceae
Description: SSU rRNA
Rfam family: Eukaryotic small subunit ribosomal RNA
Source: RNAcentral
GUGCCAGCAGCCGCGGUAAUUCCAGCUCCAAUAGCGUAUAUUUAAGUUGUUGCAGUUAAAAAGCUCGUAGUUGGAUCUUGGGUCGUAAAGGUCGGUCCGCCUACUCGGUGUGCACCUGCCCUUCCGUCCCUUUUGUCGGCGGCGUGCUCCUGGCCUUAACUGGCUGGGUCGCGNNNGAAGCGCUGUUACUUUGAAAAAAUUAGAGUGCUCAAAGCAAGCUUAUGCUCUGAAUACAUUAGCAUGGAAUAACGUGAUAGGAGUCUGGUCCUAUUGUGUUGGCCUUCGGGACCGGAGUAACGAUUAAUAGGGACUGUCGGGGGCAUUCGUAUUUCAUUGUCAGAGGUGAAAUUCUUGGAUUUAUGAAAGACGGACCACUGCGAAAGCAUUUGCCAAGGAUGUUUUCAUUAAUCAAGAACGAAAGUUGGGGGCUCGAAGACGAUUCAGAUACCGUCCUAGUCUCAACCAUAAACGAUGCCGANCCAGGGAUCGGGCGGAUGUUGCUCUAAGGACUCCGCCAGCACCUUCUGAGAAAUCAGAGUGUUUGGGUUCCGGGGGGGNNUAUGGUCGCAAGGCUGAAACUUAAA